RNAcentral lists this ribosomal RNA (336 nucleotides) under uncultured bacterium. RNAcentral describes it as "bacterial SSU rRNA". It matches the Rfam family "Bacterial small subunit ribosomal RNA", at positions 30 to 369 of the family's 1533-position model. The record is from RNAcentral.
AUUGAACGCUGGCGGCAUGCCUUACACAUGCAAGUCGAACGGCAGCACGGGGCAACCUGGUGGCGAGUGGCGAACGGGUGAGUAAUGCAUCGGAACGUGCCAUUGAUGGGGGAUAACGUAGCGAAAGUUGCGCUAAUACCGCAUAUUCUGUGAGCAGGAAAGCAGGGGACCGCAAGGCCUUGCGCUCUUUGAGCGGCCGAUGUCAGAUUAGCUAGUUGGUGAGGUAACGGCUUUACCAAGGCGACGAUCUGUAGCGGGUCUGAGAGGAUGAUCCGCCACACUGGAACUGAGACACGGUCCAGACUCCUACGGAGGCAGCAGUGGGGAAUUUUGGAC